GACGAACGCUGGCGGCGUGCCUAAUACAUGCAAGUCGAGCGGACGAAUCGAAAUCUUGCUUUUUUUUCGUUAGCGGCGGACGAGUGAGUAACACGUGGGCAACCUGCCCUGUAGACGGGGAUAACACCGAGAAAUCGGUGCUAAUACCAAAUAACACGAAAUGUCGCAUGACGUUUCGUUGAAAGACGGCGCAAGCUGCAGCUACAGACUGGACCCCCGGCGCAUUAGCUAGUUGGUGAGGUAACGGCUAACCAAGGCGACGAUGCGUAGCCGACCUGAGAGGGUGAUCGGCCACACUGGGAGUGAGACACGGACCAGACUCCUACGGGAGGCAGCAGUAGGGAAUCUUACGCAAUGGACGAAAGUCUGACGGAGCAGCGCCGCGUGAGCGAAGAAGGCCUUCGGGUCGUAAAGCUCUGUUGUUAGGGAAGAACAAGUAACGCAGUAACUGGCGUUAGCGUGACGGUACCUACCGAGAAAGCCACGGCUAACUACGUG
Molecule: ribosomal RNA, 498 nt
Filed under: uncultured bacterium
Lineage: Bacteria
Description: partial 16S ribosomal RNA
Rfam family: Bacterial small subunit ribosomal RNA
Source: RNAcentral